This 1022-nucleotide long non-coding RNA is filed under the name Neodiprion pinetum (white pine sawfly). RNAcentral describes it as "uncharacterized LOC124215668". Lineage: Eukaryota; Metazoa; Arthropoda; Insecta; Hymenoptera; Diprionidae. The record is from RNAcentral.
UUAUCCCGUAAAUGUGGUUGUGGGUGUCACGCAUUUACGCCACGUGGACCUUUCGAAACACGUCUGUGUCCCUUCAUGCAUCAAGAUUUCAACCCUGUUGGACCCGAACGACCGCACGAGAGACGCGAAAGCGACUCUUGGCUAGACGGCGAAAAAGCUAUAGAUACAUAUUUCUGGAAAAAGCGCGGUUAGACGAUCUCUGUUCUUAUGCAAAGUCGCGUAUUCGAUGGAAAAGGACGAGUCGUGAUCGGCCGGACGCAAGGGCACUCACAAUAUCAACGCGAUUCGCGGUACUAUGUGCGAAUCAGCCAAUCUGCGUUUUUUAAUUUUUUUUUUUCAGUGGAAAGAAAGACGAGUAAAUUUUUUUUUCCAAACUUAACAGUCAACACAGCAAUAACACAGAUACAUUGUAUCGUGUCGAUAAUAUGUUAAAUUUAUAAUCACAUGUACUUUGACUGUUGUUGAUCAAUCAAAUUGCGAUAACGACUCAACUAAUCUAUUUCGUUUGUCCGUAUCAUUUGUUCAUGAAAUAUGCACUUUGAUUAUCGGAAUGAGGAGUACUGCAAUAUGAAUCACAGUGCAAGCAUAACAUAAAUAUUCAUACAGCGUCAUUCAUUUGUUGCCGAACGAGAAAGCGACUCCCGUAGCUGUUUUAUCAGCGACUCUCUCUGAUCGGGGUCUCACGUUCAGCAACAAAUCAAUGAACCUGUAUAUUUACAAUGGAAUAUACUUUAUGUUAGAGAUCUGAGAUAUAGGUAUAAUUUAUGCAAUACGAAAAAACUUUUAAUUAAUUACAAAAUGACGAUUGUUUGCAAUACAAUAUAUUCUUGAGGAUACACUUGAAUGAAAAUUUUAUUACUGUCGUACAUUUCUCAGCUUCUCUUUGUCUUCCUGAUACUUGUAAUGAAGAUCCUUGCAGUCCUCGUCGGAAAUGUGAACCCAUCCAGUAGAUUUCAUGUGAUAAACUGAAAUUAACAUAUAUUUACAAUCGAGUGAUAAAUAAAAUCAUGGUUAAUCCAAAA